Etheostoma cragini (Arkansas darter) is the source of this 909-nucleotide long non-coding RNA. RefSeq lists it as uncharacterized. Lineage: Eukaryota; Metazoa; Chordata; Actinopteri; Perciformes; Percidae. The record is from RefSeq and is a predicted model, not a curated record. The transcript is spliced from 2 exons.
CAGAGUUGUGGCCUCGGUUCAUUGUCCCACAAUGCACCAGUGGAAUUUGAGCCAAUACUCGAAGGAAAUUCUCUUCUAAAGUUGCAGUUUGACAGUAACAGUUGGUGCACAUAUGGCAUAAGAAUCAAGAUUCAUAAUCCUUUAUUAAUCCCACACUGGGGACAUUUACACUGCUGCAGCAGCAAGGUGUAAGAGGAAAAGUAAGACGCAUACUGUCCUGUUAGUAUAAAACACGUAUGUUGGUUUUUGUAUUUGUGUGUACUAACUACAUAAACAGUAAAAGUAUGUAGUCAGUAUACAAUUUAUACAAUUCAUAUGGGGACGGCCUAGUAUGGAACACGGCUCAAUGAAGGAGAUCCCAACAGUAAGGAAAUGGGACUGUAUAACCAAAGACUGUACAGAAAGAGAUGGAAACGGUGAGAAUAAAGGACUGUUUGGCUAUUUCGUGACUACAUGUGUAUGCGGUUCCCUUACGGUGCUAAAUGUUAGACGCUGUUCAUCCCCAAACUUGCCUGAGUAGUUAAUCUUAAUGUUGCACACCACUAAUGGUUAACUAUUGAACAAUUCUUGCGUCUAUCUUGCAAACCACAGCCAACUGCAGCUGCGCUCACUGCGCUGCCUCCCUCCCUCCUUCCCUCCAUUCUAGCGGUCUACUGUACUUCUACUAGGUCACGUGAUUUCCUAUCAACAACUCUGUUGUCAAGUGCUGCCUUUACAUACCGCCGGACAAACAUAAAUCCCCACUGUAGGAGACGUAAAAGGGGGGUGCAACUCUGAUGUUUUCUGUUAGCGUUAACCGAAAUCGGGAAAAUUUGAAGGUGUCAUGUCACCACCUGUCUGCUGGAGAAUGUAUGCUGAUUGUUAUGUUUUAUAAUUAUUUGUAAUUGUGUAAAAUACUUGAACAAUAGC